UGCGGUGCUGCUUGGUAGAAGAAGGGAGGAGGGUGAGCAGACGUCAUACAAGGAGGGACGGUGAAAGGAAGGCUCACAUGUGCCGCUGCCUUAUUUAACCUGGAUUUUCGCUGAACAGGACAGUGACAUGGGCCAUGACUACCACUGUGUGCUGGUGCAGGCUUGCUGCUUGGCGGGAAGUGCCUGUGAGGGCCAGCAGCUUGUCAGGAGGGCCAGGGAGACUCAGAAUAUUGGUUGGGACCCCUCAAGAGACCUGCCCAAGUGUUAGUUUGUGAUGGAGGGGCAGCUGCUGAUGGGCAAGCUUGGGGAUCUACUGGAGGAGCAGGAAGAACCUGGAGGGAAUGGUGGAAGUGAAGUACUUGAAGAAGCUCCCUACACUCACCCCCAAGGAUUCCUUCCACCUUGACGACUGGUUUUCUGCUGUACAGACUACAGACCACUGAACAAUAUUUCACCCUAACCCAGUCUCCUCUCACCCUACGUCCCCUGCACAGGCCGCUGACAGGGUGUGACAUCAAUAUCCAACACCUGUGGUAUGUGCAGGAGCUGGCAGAGGGGCAGGGUGACAGGGCCCACUGCCUCACCAUCCCUGCCCACCAUGCCCCUGACAAGUUCGUCACCUGGGUACAUGCUCAGGCACCCCUGCAGUUAUUCUCUAGGCGAGGACGACAGUUGGAAUCCGUGUGAGAUAGUAGGCCGGCCCAACUUCCAGUAGUGAUGGAUGGGGAGGCAUGCCUGGUGUGUCCUGGGAGCAAUGUGUUUGAUGAGGCUCUGGGAUGACUGAAGUGUGUCUGGUGAAGGAUUAUGAAGGGUAUAUGCUUGUGUUCUUAAAGGCUUAACGUCUUUAUCAUGGCAUUCAGUAGGCCAUAGUGGAAGUUGUGGGGCUUGACAUUUGUAUCACAACAUUGAACAGGCCAUAUUGGAAGUUGUCAGUGUGUGAGUGAUGAAAAUGCAAAAUUGUAGGUGUCAGAUUUUGUUUACUUGAAAAUUAACUCUAUGCUGUAAUUUUUUAUUUAUUUUUUUCUUUGUUUUACAUAUCUUAGAUGAGUUUAGUUUUUGUCAUUAGUAUAUCCAGCCUAUCUAUCUGUUCAUCUAACACCUUCAUCAGUGCACAGGUGGAGAGUGUGAGGGUGACAGUGAGAUGAUGCCUUGCAGGGUGCCUGUCUAUUGUGCCUCUCUCUGUACAUUGAUGCCUAAGAGAACAUUUUGGUCAUAUCCUAGUCAGAGAAUAGAUGAACUAUACCUGUGUGUGUGUGUGUGUGUGUGUGUGUGUGUGGCCAACACUAUGUAUGUAUAUAUUUAUUGACUUUACAAUGGUGUUUAUUGCUCCUGUUUAUUAUUAUUCAUUCUACAGUGGUGUUUAUUGCUGCUGUUUUCACUUUGUGUUCAGAUUUUCAUGUGUAAUUUCUCUCUGUAUUCCAUUUGAUGUAAUUACAAUAGUGUUCAGUGUAUAGUCCUGUUCUAAGUAGUUAUGUUGUAACUCCAAUCAUCCAGUGCCAUGCCUGAACUAAUUCCACUCUCAUUUUGUUGGAAUUCAUUCAUUCCUCUUCAUUAUUAUUUGUCUAUUUCUUU
Scylla paramamosain (green mud crab) is the source of this 1572-nucleotide RNA transcript. It is a transcript of the gene named ribosome biogenesis protein WDR12 homolog, with no coding region annotated. The transcript has 4 exons. Lineage: Eukaryota; Metazoa; Arthropoda; Malacostraca; Decapoda; Portunidae. The record is from RefSeq and is a predicted model, not a curated record.